GAUGAACGCUGGCGGCGUGCCUAAUACAUGCAAGUCGAGCGAACAGACGAGGAGCUUGCUCCUUUGACGUUAGCGGCGGACGGGUGAGUAACACGUGGAUAACCUACCUAUAAGACUGGGAUAACUUCGGGAAACCGGAGCUAAUACCGGAUAACAUGUUGAACCGCAUGGUUCAACAGUGAAAGACGGUCUUGCUGUCACUUAUAGAUGGAUCCGCGCCGCAUUAGCUAGUUGGUAAGGUAACGGCUUACCAAGGCAACGAUGCGUAGCCGACCUGAGAGGGUGAUCGGCCACACUGGAACUGAGACACGGUCCAGACUCCUACGGGAGGCAGCAGUAGGGAAUCUUCCGCAAUGGGCGAAAGCCUGACGGAGCAACGCCGCGUGAGUGAAGAAGGUCUUCGGAUCGUAAAACUCUGAUAUUAGGGAAGAACAAAUGUGUAAGUAACUAUGCACGUCUUGACGGUACCUAAUCAGAAAGCCACGGCUAACUACGUG
This 497-nucleotide ribosomal RNA is filed under the name uncultured bacterium. RNAcentral describes it as "partial 16S ribosomal RNA". It matches the Rfam family "Bacterial small subunit ribosomal RNA", at positions 28 to 507 of the family's 1533-position model. The record is from RNAcentral.